AUAUGCCACUUUUGCUGGGGUGGAAGGAGGGAAGGGCUGGCUUGCUGAGCUGGGCUCUAGAAUGGGAAGGGUACCUUUCUGCAGAUCCCAUUUGGACUCUCCACUUGAACAAGUGAGGUGUCUGAUUUUCUUCUUCGGUACCUUCCUUUCCUCCCCCUCCCUUCGCCUCACCCCACUUUCAUCUGUCAUCACCACCUGGGUCCUACUGCUUGGCACCCAACCAACUGGAUGCCGCCACGUUUGGCAGUGCUGCACUGGCACGUGAACAGUGUCUCAGAUCCUGGCACUGCAGCAAACCCAAAGCCACCAAACAUGCUCAUGAUGCCACUUGGCAGCAGUCAGAGAGAGGGGGCUGUGCACAUAGUGGUGCCAGGCAUUGGGUGGAGCUCUGUGCAGGGAACUGGCAUGAGACGAUGCCCUUAACAACUGGGCUAAGUCAGCACUCCCUGGUCAAUCUCAGCUCUGCCUUCCUCCCAACUAGAUAUCCACCUCCUUCCUACCCUUAUUGCCCCCACGAAAGGGAUUUAGAUGGUACCAUAUUGAGUGUUUGAGCACCAUGCGAAAGGAAACAAGCACAGAGGGACAGGCUAGAGCACAGGCUGUAGACACACCCAAGGCUCCAGGUUAGUGGACCAUACAUAUCCUUGGACAACAAGAACAACAACAACAACAACAAAACCCUAGGAGAACAAAAGGAGGUGGAGAGAGGGACACCAGCUGUGUUGUUACCAGGAUGGCACAAGAAGAGAUUGGAAGGGAAGUAGGAAGGAGUGACCCUCAGACCUUGCUCUUGGGUGAUGGGGUGGUUUGUACUUAUGCAUAUUUCAUUCUGCCUUGUGCCUUGUGAUUUGCUGAGCUGUGGUUGAGAUGAACUGGUUCUUUCUCCCUUGUUAAAAGAUCCAUAUUCAAUAAUAGUCCUAGAAAGAUGGAAAGGUGCUCUAGGCCUAGAGAGGUAGACAGGUGUUAGGAAGACAAACGGACUUGUCCUUCCAGAAAGACUAUGCAAGGCACCCAGUUAGAGUUGGAUAGAUUUCCAUAUCUUUGAAAUCCACCCCAAGAAGGGAGAUUGAGGAUAAGCAAUGAUCCCUGGUAGAGGGGAAGGCCCCUAGGAGGAGAAUCCCCAGCAUCUGUGGUGAUACAGACUAGCCCUCAGAAAACUAGACCUUGGGCCCCCAUCUGAAAGAAUUUCUAGUAGGUUUGGCUUUCCCAGUGACUGGGCAGAUCUUUAGAAGAUCUGGAAGAUUUGGCUGUGGGUGAUGUGCAGGGGAGGCUGGGUGGCUCUGGGAGAUAGGACCUGCCCAGAGGUAGGAGUAAAGUCCAUGCUGGGCUGAGCUGCUCAGGGCUGGGGAAGUUCUGAUUUCAGCAUCUCUGGAAGUGUAUGGCUACUUCAGAAGAAGCAAGGUGUUUUCCACAGCAGAGGAGAAAGCAAGGAGGCACUCAGCCAAAGUGGGAUGAAUGACUGUCUUAAAACAGAUCACAGUGGUGGAGAUUUGGAGAAUCAGUGAUCUGGUCUAUAAGCCCUGAAAGUGGUUAAGAAACAAAUACAAAGAAUUAAGCAGAUGGGUGCUAUUAUGCCUGGAAUAAAAGGCUUGCUUGGUUCUUAAGCCUACUUCUCCUCUAGGAUUCUGCAAAGGAUUGUGCUGACUCAGCCUUCUGUCCACCAGAAUACCCACUGUGCAUUGCUCUCUGGAGCAGGACUGCUGCUGCUAAGGACUUCUGGUGUGAGAAAGGGACUGGGAAGGAAUGCUUCCAGCCACUGGGAACAUGGAAUGGUGCCCCCUCAGGAAGCAUGUUAAUUGACCUAAGUCAGCAGAGUCAGCCCGGCUCUUUUGCCCCCAAAUUCCAGGGUUCCAGCAACCUUAUUUUACGGAUGGGGCAUCCAAGAAAGAGAGAUGUUAAGUGAGCUACUGAGGGUCACACAGCUCCAAGAUAGUGAAACUAGAAAUGGACUGAUGAGGCACUGAGUAAACCCCAAAGUUGUGGUCUAGACUCCUCCACCCAGCUAGACUGUCCCUUGGACACAAUACAGGCAAAAUGAGACUCCAAAGGACUAGAAAUGAAGAUUCCAGUCUGGGCAUGGUGGCUCACAUCUGUAAUCCCAGCACUUUGGGAGGCCAAGGCAGGCAGAUCACCUGAGGUCAGGAGU
Long non-coding RNA from Gorilla gorilla gorilla (western lowland gorilla), 2146 nucleotides. RefSeq lists it as uncharacterized. Lineage: Eukaryota; Metazoa; Chordata; Mammalia; Primates; Hominidae. The transcript has 4 exons. The record is from RefSeq and is a predicted model, not a curated record.